Molecule: ribosomal RNA, 249 nt
Filed under: uncultured bacterium
Lineage: Bacteria
Description: partial 16S ribosomal RNA
Rfam family: Bacterial small subunit ribosomal RNA
Source: RNAcentral
CAACCUGCCCUUCAGAGGGGGACAACAGUUGGAAACGACUGCUAAUACCGCAUACGAUCCAACCUCGGCAUCGAGGAUGGAUGAAAGGUGGCCUCUAUUUAUAAGCUAUCACUGAAGGAGGGGAUUGCGUCUGAUUAGCUAGUUGGAGGGGUAACGGCCCACCAAGGCAAUGAUCAGUAGCCGGUCUGAGAGGAUGAACGGCCACAUUGGGACUGAGACACGGCCCAGACUCCUACGGGAGGCAGCAUG